RNAcentral lists this ribosomal RNA (253 nucleotides) under uncultured bacterium. Its description in RNAcentral is "partial 16S ribosomal RNA". It matches the Rfam family "Bacterial small subunit ribosomal RNA", at positions 524 to 776 of the family's 1533-position model. The record is from RNAcentral.
UACGUAGGAGGCGAGCGUUGUCCGGAUUUACUGGGCGUAAAGGGCGCGCAGGCGGCAUACUAAGUACAACGUGAAAGUUCCCUGCUCAACGGGGAGAGCGCGUAGUAAACUAGUAAGCUAGAGGACGGUAGAGGGGGGUAGAAUUGCUGGUGUAGCGGUGAAAUGCGUAGAGAUCAGCAGGAAUACCCGUGGCGAAGGCGGCCCCCUGGGCCGAACCUGACGCUGAGGCGCGAAGGCUAGGGGAGCGAACGGG